GGCCUAUUAGCUCAAUUGGUUAGAGUGUCAUGCUAAUAACACGAAGGUUGUAGGUUUGAGACCUGUAUAGGCCA
This is a non-coding RNA of Vitis riparia (riverbank grape), 74 nucleotides long. Lineage: Eukaryota; Viridiplantae; Streptophyta; Magnoliopsida; Vitales; Vitaceae. The record is from the annotation of a RefSeq genome assembly.